GACCUCAAAUCAGGUAGGAACACCCGCUGAACUUAAGCAUAUCAAUAAGCGGAGGAAAAGAAAAUAACAAUGAUUCCCCUAGUAACUGCGAGUGAAGAGGGACAAGCUCAAAUUUUAAAUCUAUCGGGUUUUACCCGAUCGAGUUGUAAUUUGAAGAAGCGUUUUCUGCGUUUUUGAUCAGCCCAAGUCCUAUUGAAUGAGGCAUCAUGGAGGGUGAUAAUCCCGUCCGGUUGAUCAUUUGCGUUUUACGAUACGCUCUCUAAGAGUCAAGUUGUUUGGGAUUGCAGCUUAAAAUGGGAGGUAAAUUUCUCCUAAGGCUAAAUAACGGCGAGAGACCGAUAGCGAACAAGUACCGUGAGGGAAAGAUGAAAAGAACUUUGAAAAGAGAGUUAAACAGUACGUGAAAUUGUUGAAAGGGAAACGAUUGAAGCCAGUCGUACCUUCGGGUAAUCAGCCUUUCGGGUGCGAUUCUGUGGAGUGUGAGGAGCUUAACACCUUCAUGCUUUGCAUAUUUGUGCUCUUGGGUGUACUUGCCCGUGUGGUUGGUUAACAUCAAUUUUGAUUAUCAUAAAAUGACUGGAGGAAUGUAGCUUCGAUCUCGUAUUGAAGUGUUAUAGCCUUCGGUAGAUGUGAUGAUCGAGAUUGAGGAUUGCAACGGAUACCCUUCGGGGCUACCUGUCUGGUCUCUGAUCGUUGCUCUGGUGCCGAAAGCUUGCUUACGGUUAUCAAAGUCGAUGGUCAAUAGGUUAGAACGGGUUAAAUUCGUUAAGGAUGUUGACGUAAUGGCUUUAAACGACCCGUCUUGAAACACGGACCAAGGAGUCUAACAUAUAUGCGAGUGUU
This 843-nucleotide ribosomal RNA is filed under the name Rhizophagus irregularis. Its description in RNAcentral is "eukaryotic LSU rRNA". It matches the Rfam family "Eukaryotic large subunit ribosomal RNA", at positions 1 to 694 of the family's 3401-position model. The record is from RNAcentral. Lineage: Eukaryota; Fungi; Glomeromycota; Glomeromycetes; Glomerales; Glomeraceae.